This 320-nucleotide ribosomal RNA is filed under the name Blastocystis hominis. RNAcentral describes it as "partial small subunit ribosomal RNA". The record is from RNAcentral. Lineage: Eukaryota; Bigyra; Opalinata; Blastocystidae.
CUACUAUCAACAUUGUUAUUGAGGAAGCUCCAACCAACUGGACUUUGAUUAUCAUCAUUAUUGUGGUGGUGGUGAUCGUGGUGAUUGCAAUUAUUGUUGUUAUUGUUCUGGUCUCUAAGAAGAGCAAGAAGAUACAGAGAAGAUGCCAAAGUCUGCUGCGAAGUCUUCUGCAAAGGCUGCUCCAGCCAAGACAGAUGCAGUAAGACAAAGACAGCUGUGAAGGUUUAAAUGUACUUGUUGUUUAAUUUGUUUGUUAGAAAGCAGUAUUGUUUUCUUGAUGGAGUGUGGGGUUGAUGAACGAGUAGCUAAGUGGUUGUCUG